RNAcentral lists this long non-coding RNA (434 nucleotides) under Cricetulus griseus (Chinese hamster). RNAcentral's name for it is "lncRNA (ENSCGRG00000025081.1)". The record is from RNAcentral. Lineage: Eukaryota; Metazoa; Chordata; Mammalia; Rodentia; Cricetidae.
CUCAGGACAUAUUUGUGAAUCAAGAUAUGGGGACAGCUUGACAGCUUGGCCAGGCAGGGUGAGCCAGAUGAAGUGCUAAGAGCAGCCUGGUUUCUGACCAGAGCAACUGGCUUGAUGUAAUUUCACUGAUUGCAACUAAGAGAGGUAAAGUUCAGAUGCUGUGUGUGACCAAAGCUCUCCAGAGCCUUUGCCAUAGGCCCUGGGGUCUUCCUGCCUCUCAGGUCUCCGCCCAUAGCAUAUCAGGAGUAGGGCUUGGGUUUCCCUUCCAUCUGCCAGGGUUGACCGCUGACCUGAAUGCUCUUCAUUGUUUGCUCCAAACUCCAGCUGUUCACCAGAAGGGAUCAGCUGGAGUGUCCGGACUGGAGUCUUGGUCACAGGCUCAAGCAUCGUUUCCAGGCAGAGGUACUCACUUGGAAAGUGAUAAGAAACCAGAG